UUCAAUUCUGCAGAAAUCAAAAAUAGAAUAAUGCUAUCUCAAUUAUUAUGGGUUGAAGUUUAUUUAAAAAAGUAAACUAUUUUCUUUGAAAUCAAAGAAGGAACUGUUCCAAUGACAUGUAAUGUCAAUACUCACAGUGUGAUGGGCAGGUUUUUAGCAUCCUCCUUAGUGCCUGUCAGAGACAUGCUAAAACUUGGGUCUAUCUUCUUGCCUUGAAUUUCAUUUAUGAAGUGGAUCUUGAACUGAUAGUGAUAGACUGUAGAAAGGAGGAAUUUACAAAGUGAUGAAAUGAAUGGUCAAAGAAACACUCGAUUUCUCAGACAUAAGACUGUCUUUCAAAACAGGAAUUUGAUUGAUACAUAUAUUUUAUUUUAAAACAAAUCUGUUGCAAUUAAAGCCUAUAUAUGUAUUUAUCACUGAUGUGUUGUAUUAGAGCUUGGGGGCCCUACUGCUCUUAAAAACAUUGAAGAGGGUAAAACGGUCUCCCAUGGGGAAUGUUUUUGCUCUUCUGAAAUUUAAUCGUUGGAAUGUCUGGCAAGCUCUGUCCAACCAGCAGAGGAAUCCUUCUGACUGGACAUGUUUAGAGGUGUGCAUUAAAGACUGAAGAUCUUAUAAGAUGUUGUCAGACUUUUUCUCUGGUUAGAAAAUCUCCUUGCAGAACAAAAGACUUUCCUUGGCUUAAUAAUAAAACAUUGUGCUUAGUAUGCAUCUGUUAACAAUAUGACUUUGUUCAAUCACAUUACUGUAAGAAAGAUGUCAUUAGCGCUUUGAGGUUUGGUGGUUUCUCCAAGAAUUGUGUUUAGGAAAGUCUUUGAACUGAAGAUAAUGGUAUGCUUCUGAGAAGGAAGAAUGACUAAGGAAUCAUCAGUGUACUGAUUACAAGCUGUUUGGCAUUUAGAGAACUACAAGACACAAAGAAAAUACCCAUACAGUUAGAGGCCUUGUGUACACAGGUAUUAACAUCUAGUUUUGAAUGUCCAACACUUUUCUGUGUAGCACGUCUACCAAAAGAAAAGAUCUGGCUGUAGCCACUUAAAUGUACCAUGGAAAAGUUACUGUUGGGUGAUAAUGUCACUUAGGUAUUUUCAGCUUGACAAUACCCACGUGUGGUGGCUCUUCAUCAACUUUUGACAUCAGCAUCAGAUCUAUUAUUUCCUGCUGAAAAAUUUCUUAACAACCAUCACUGCAUUUUACACACCACUUAUCAGGGCAUACUAUUUGUAGCUCUAAUUCAUCACUGUUUUAUACUGACAAACACAAAAAUAAAACCAGACAUGCAGUGACAAUGGAGAUUUCUAAAGCAAGGUGGUGUUAGUCAGCUCUAAAACACUUCUGCAGUGUGGAAUGUGGUUUUCCCAUCUGCAAACUGCCUCCUUGCCCACAACUGUUAGGUUUAGAUAUUAGGGAGGAAAUACUAGGUCAUUUUAAUUGACAAAUAUCAGAAAGUAUUUGGGAGAAUUAGUAGGUGGUGAUAUUUAUCCUUGCAAUGUGUUAAAACUGCACAUGGGAAACUGUUCUGUUAAACAUUAUUGCACCGUGUGUGUGUGUGUAUGUAUAUAUAUAUAUACAUAUAUAUGUGCAUAUAUAUGUAUAUAUAUGUAUAUAAACAUCAUAAAUGCUUUUGAGCAGAAAGAUGCUCAAAAUGACCUGCUCCAGGCUUCACACAAUGCUACCACUGCCCCGUCGUCUUUUCCUGUAUAUGCACAGAUAGACCUUUGUGCAGCUCUUAGCUUCCACAGUGGAAGCUAUUUGCUAGAAAAGCUAUGUAUUUUUUGUUGUUGUUUCAUAACUUACUGUAUGUUAAAGAACAAUUUUUUUUCUUUUUAAAAGUUACCACUUAACAGAAAGCAAAAUGACUGGUUCUUUGCUGCCAGCCAGAAACGCAGACCUGACAAGGACAAAGAGUAUAGAAAGGCUUGUUUACAAAUCACUUCUUGCUAUUCUGUCUUGAUCUGGGUUUGCUCUUAGAUAAGUUGAGUGCUCUUACAAAGCCCGGUCUUGUGCUGUGCUUGUGAUACUCAAAGGAGAAAGGUGAGCAUGUUUAUAUAGAAACUUUGGUUGGCUCAGGGUCUCAUCAUGACUUUAUAAUCAUUAACUUCUUUGUAGCAAUUGUUUUUUCAUGUGUACACUCCAGAAUAUAACUUGAAAAAUGUCUGAUUUCAUGCAGAAAUACAGAGCAUUGUGAAACUUAAUGCUGAGUUCCUCAGAUUUCCUCUGUUUGGGUUUCUCUCGUGAUCUUCAAACUUUUUUUUUUUUUUAAGAACAUUACAAAGAUCACUUCACACACAGCCUUCCACUGGUGCCACCUUGUUUUGGAGCUUUUAUGAAAAGAAAUUACUGUGUGAGCAUUAGUUUUUGUCUGUUCCAUGCCCACCGCCCUCUGGUGAACCUUUCCUUACUUCCCAGCCUGACUCCCCCAGCAGAGCUCCAUGCCGUUCCCUUGGGCCCUGUCACUGUCACCAGAGAGCAGAGCUCAGCGCUCAGUUCACCAGAGUGACAGGAGAAAAGCCGGUGCAACGGCGUUCCCCUAGGUUUCGCUCCAGACCUGAAGAAUCCUAAGUUGCUACCAUGAGGAACACGUCCAAAAGUAUUUUAAAAGUACGUGGAUUGUAUUUUUAUGGGUUUUAUUCUCUGGUGUUGCAAUUGAGUAGCAGGCACUGCGUGUGGAGUUGAAGUGUGUGAUCCAAGCAGGUGCUGAGGGGGAUUCCUGUGUCCUGGGCCUGCGCUGGGGAAGGCGGGAAACUGACUGUGCUUUCCUCUGUGGAGAUGCACAGUGUGGAUUGCCUCGCUGGACUUGGUACUUUGGAAAUGGGCUUCUAUAUGUAUAAAAGCAGCUUGGAACGUUGACAGUGAAGUCCCAGAGAGAGCAUCACCCUCUGCAGCUGAAUGAUGGUGACUUGGGGAAAGGUGAAUUAAGAGAAAGUGCAUUGAAUGCAGAAUCCUUUGGCAUGGGAAAAACCUCAGGAAGCACAAUACUGCAACCUCUGCAGCCACUCUGACCUACUGGAAUUGAACUCUGAUCUUCUGCAUAAUAAAGAUGAGUACUUCUUAGUGAUGCAAAUUUAGGAAAGGAAGAAUGUCUGCUACUAGGAGCCUCUCUCUCCAGAAAACACAUUUCAACUAUAACGGUGUUACACAACUCUGAAUUUCGAGCCUAAACAAGAUUUCUCAGACUCUACAACAAAUCUCUGAAUGGAAGAAGGAAUUAUUUCUGUGUAAAAAUGGAUAAAAUGUUGUUCCUGUUGCCCCGAUCAAGAGGAAAGGCGGAAAGAGAAGCCACAAAAAUUCCCCCAAGAGAUUGAAAUGUUUGACUACUCAAGCACUGCUGCCAUUGGAUUGCUUGACGUCUGAAUCCAGUCCUGGUACCAGCAAGAUGGAACAGAGGAAAUGUACCGCUGAUCCAGUGGUGUCUCAAAAGAGGAUUCCAGGGUGAUCGUGGGACCUACAAAAAUGGCAAAGGAGGAGAAUCCCGGCUGGUCACCCACUAUUGGGAAGCUUUAUGGCAAGAGUGUGCCACGUCCUGCUGGCUGCAGCCCGGGAGCCACGGUGUG
This is a long non-coding RNA of Gallus gallus (chicken), 3551 nucleotides long. RefSeq lists it as uncharacterized. NCBI's taxonomy places the organism in Eukaryota, Metazoa, Chordata, Aves, Galliformes, Phasianidae. The transcript is spliced from 7 exons. The record is from RefSeq and is a predicted model, not a curated record.